Betta splendens (Siamese fighting fish) is the source of this 1657-nucleotide long non-coding RNA. RefSeq lists it as uncharacterized. Lineage: Eukaryota; Metazoa; Chordata; Actinopteri; Anabantiformes; Osphronemidae. The transcript has 4 exons. The record is from RefSeq and is a predicted model, not a curated record.
GUUUAAGUGUCGGACCGUUGUGUACUGACUAGCUGUGCUGAGGUCUCGCCUCUUUCUCUUUCUGUCUCAUUCAGCAGCAGGUCAGGACGGAGGCAGCAGCUCUUUGUCCACUGCUCUUGUUGGAUUCACUGGAGUCUGGAUCUGCUGAAGUCUCUCUCACAGUGACCCCCAGGAGGUCACCGUUCUUUAAAUUCCACAGCUUUUCUGUGAGCUGUGAGGUCGAGGAGCAGAACCAGGACGAGGACAGUGGCCGGUGGUGAUGAAGAGGACGCGAACGGAGAGGUUGGUGAUGAGCUGAGAGGAGCUCCGGCCUCAGACGCUGCCUCUGACUCCACUGACUGUGUGGCAGGUGCAGCCGUGCCCGGGCCCUGCAGCGUCCCCUCCACAGACAGCGGGGAGUACUGGUGCGACCCGGCAGGAAGCCAGCAGCACCUGGAUCAGCUGGUUCUGUGAUCCGGACGGGCCCGUGCUUCCUGUGCUGCAGCAGCAGGGCUUCACUGUCAGCCUGCAGCCCCGGGGCCGAGUUCUACAAAGACGGGGUCCUCAUCAGAACCUCCUCCACAGGAAACGUGACCGUGGCCGGUGUUUCUCCAUCGCACGCAGGCGCCUACGAGUGCAGCGUCGCCGGAGAGCUGGCUGCGCGUCAGAGGUGAGCAGGUGUCAGCGAAAGCCGUGUGUACGCUUCAGAGCUGCCGCUGACACACCUGCGCCCCCUGCUGGUGGGAGGUCUUCACCUGACGCCCCCGUUUUACUAGCGCUCGUAUAGAGACACAGGAGGAGCGCGCAGCAGGAGCUGAGGCGCAGAUCUGAUGGAGGCGUCAUGCAAACAGUCUAAGGACCAUCAACCGUGACAGUUUCAGCCUUCGGGGGCAUGUGACCUCACUUCCUGUCUGUGUGUGACAUCACUUCCUGUCUGUGUGUGACCUCACUUCCUGUCUGUGUGUGAAUCACUUCCUGUCUGCAUGUGACCUCACUUCCUGUCUGUGUGUGAAUCACUUCCUGUCUGCUCAUGUGGAUCACCUGCUGACAGACCCUCCUCCACUCAUCACCCUGUGGGUUUCCUGGUUCUGCUGUGGUUCCUGUUUGUCCUCUUUUGGUGCUGGGAGGGUUCAUCAUUGGAUUUCUGCUUGGUUCUGUGACUUCCUGAGUUUCUUUGGAUCUGUCACUAGUUUUUGCUGCAUGAGCUGUGAUUUUAGUUCAUACCUUUGAUCUGAACUCUGUUCUGUCAUGCAGGGAUUCAUAGUUUGGCAAUGAUUGUAUUUCUAGUCUUUUACUUCAUUAAAUGAUUUAUUUUGCACAGUCCUGUGCGUCCUGUUAUCGGUCUGGCCUCAUCUGGACUUUAUAAAGGUACAAAGGUAAAGACAGGUGGUUGGAGAGUCUUAUUUUACAACACCAUGGAAUCAGUUUUUAUAUGAACUCUGACUCUGCUGCUUUAAAAAACACCUGGACAAAGUGUUCAGUGUUUGUGUGGGUCUGACAGGAAGGAGGCGGUGGAGCUGUGUCUGUUUCAGUGACACACUUGUUCCAGUCACUGUAAGUUACUGGCUCCGUCCUGGUGCCACUGAGCCGCUGACCUGCACUGAUGAAGGAGAGGCAGAUGAGCCCAGCGUGUGCUACAGAACGUCGUCAGCCAUUCUGAGCAGCUUCUACUGUAUGA